This 235-nucleotide long non-coding RNA is filed under the name Elaeis guineensis (African oil palm). RNAcentral describes it as "long non-coding RNA (EGUI_LNC038148)". The record is from RNAcentral. Lineage: Eukaryota; Viridiplantae; Streptophyta; Magnoliopsida; Arecales; Arecaceae.
UUUCAGGUCACUCACAGUCACACGAAGUCAUCUAGCCUCUAUAGAAAAUCCAUCAGCGUAGAUCAGGGUCCUUGGAGGUGCUAGCCUGCAAAGAACUUCGAUGGCUGAUUUCUUCCUUUUUCUUCAAACACCUUGGACACUCCAAAGUAAGAGGAUAUCUAAAGGAGAAAGAGAGGAAGAGGAAGAGAAGCUCUGGAAACAAAAAAACUAGCAAGGGAACCAAUGAUGGGAUGCC